GCAUAACGCGAAGAACCUUACCAGGCCUUGACAUGCAGAGAACUUUCCAGAGAUGGAUUGGUGCCUUCGGGAACUCUGACACAGGUGCUGCAUGGCUGUCGUCAGCUCGUGUCGUGAGAUGUUGGGUUAAGUCCCGUAACGAGCGCGAACCCUUGUCCUUAGUUACCAGCACGUCAUGGUGGGCACUCUAAGGAGACUGCCGGUGACAAACCGGAGGAAGGUGGGGGUGACGUCGAAGUCAUCAUGGCCCUUACGGCCUGGGCUACACACGUGCUACAAUGGUCGGUACAGAGGGUUGCCAAGCCGCGAGGUGGAGCUAAUCUCACAAAACCGAUCGUAGUCCGGAUCGCAGUCUGCAACUCGACUGCGUGAAGUCGGAAUCGCUAGUAAUCGCGAAUCG
RNAcentral lists this ribosomal RNA (400 nucleotides) under uncultured bacterium. RNAcentral describes it as "bacterial SSU rRNA". It matches the Rfam family "Bacterial small subunit ribosomal RNA", at positions 954 to 1351 of the family's 1533-position model. The record is from RNAcentral.